UGCGGUGUAACUUAGUGGUAGAGUGCUUGCUUAACAUGUGUGAGGCACUGGGUUUGAUCCUCAGCAUCACAU
RNAcentral lists this transfer RNA (72 nucleotides) under Marmota marmota marmota (Alpine marmot). It matches the Rfam family "tRNA". From Rfam's summary of the family: Transfer RNA (tRNA) molecules are approximately 80 nucleotides in length. Their secondary structure includes four short double-helical elements and three loops (D, anti-codon, and T loops). Further hydrogen bonds mediate the characteristic L-shaped molecular structure. tRNAs have two regions of fundamental functional importance: the anti-codon, which is responsible for specific mRNA codon recognition, and the 3' end, to which the tRNAs corresponding amino acid is attached (by aminoacyl-tRNA synthetases). tRNAs cope with the degeneracy of the genetic code in two manners: having more than one tRNA (with a specific anti-codon) for a particular amino acid; and 'wobble' base-pairing, i.e. permitting non-standard base-pairing at the 3rd anti-codon position. RNAcentral also lists the same sequence under 2 other names. Lineage: Eukaryota; Metazoa; Chordata; Mammalia; Rodentia; Sciuridae. The record is from Rfam by way of RNAcentral.